UACGGGGGGGGCAAGCGUUGUUCGGAAUUACUGGGCGUAAGGGGUUCGUAGGUGGCGCACUAAGUCAGACGUGAAAUCCCUCAGCUUAACUGGGGAACUGCGUCUGAGACUGGUGGGCUUGAGUGCAGGAGAGGAACGCGGAAUUCCAGGUGUAGCGGUGAAAUGCGUAGAUAUCUGGAGGAACACCGGUGGCGAAGGCGGCGUUCUGGACUGCAACUGACACUGAGGAACGAAAGCCAGGGGAGCAAACGGG
RNAcentral lists this ribosomal RNA (253 nucleotides) under uncultured bacterium. RNAcentral describes it as "partial 16S ribosomal RNA". It matches the Rfam family "Bacterial small subunit ribosomal RNA", at positions 524 to 776 of the family's 1533-position model. The record is from RNAcentral.